GUGGGGAAUAUUGGACAAUGGGCGAAAGCCUGAUCCAGCAAUGCCGCGUGAGUGAUGAAGGCCUUAGGGUUGUAAAGCUCUUUUACCCGAGAUGAUAAUGACAGUAUCGGGAGAAUAAGCUCCGGCUAACUCCGUGCCAGCAGCCGCGGUAAUACGGAGGGAGCUAGCGUUGUUCGGAAUUACUGGGCGUAAAGCGCACGUAGGCGGCUUUUUAAGUCAGGGGUGAAAUCCCGGGGCUCAACCCCGGAACUGCCUUUGAAACUGGGAAGAUAGAAUCCUGGAGAGGCGAGUGGAAUUCCGAGUGUAGAGGUGAAAUUCGUAGAUAUUCGGAAGAACACCAGUGGCGAAGGCGACUCGCUGGACAGGUAUUGACGCUGAGGUGCGAAAGCGUGGGGAGCAAACAGGAUUAGAAACCCCAGUAGUCC
Molecule: ribosomal RNA, 425 nt
Filed under: uncultured bacterium
Lineage: Bacteria
Description: bacterial SSU rRNA
Rfam family: Bacterial small subunit ribosomal RNA
Source: RNAcentral